Molecule: ribosomal RNA, 204 nt
Filed under: uncultured bacterium
Lineage: Bacteria
Description: partial 16S ribosomal RNA
Rfam family: Bacterial small subunit ribosomal RNA
Source: RNAcentral
ACGCUCGACACCUACUGGAGGCAGCAGUGGGGAAUAUUGCACAAUGGGGGAAACCCUGAUGCAGCGACGCCGCGUGGAGGAAGAAGGUCUUCGGAUUGUAAACUCCUGUUGUUGGGGAAAAAGAGGAUGGUACCCAACAAGGAAGUGACGGCUAACUACGUGCCAACAGCCGCCGGUAAUACUGAGCGGGCGUGGCGAAGGACG